Molecule: ribosomal RNA, 143 nt
Filed under: Kingella kingae
Lineage: Bacteria; Pseudomonadati; Pseudomonadota; Betaproteobacteria; Neisseriales; Neisseriaceae
Description: partial 16S ribosomal RNA
Rfam family: Bacterial small subunit ribosomal RNA
Source: RNAcentral
GAACAUAAGAGUUUGAUCCUGGCUCAGAUUGAACGCUGGCGGCAUGCUUUACACAUGCAAGUCGGACGGCAGCACGAGUACUUGUACUUGGUGGCGAGUGGCGAACGGGUGAGUAAUAUAUUGGCUGUCUCUUAUACACAUCU